This 22-nucleotide unclassified non-coding RNA is filed under the name Dictyostelium discoideum. Lineage: Eukaryota; Evosea; Eumycetozoa; Dictyosteliales; Dictyosteliaceae. The record is from RNAcentral.
UGAAGUCAUGGGAACCUUCAAA